Arabidopsis thaliana (thale cress) is the source of this 197-nucleotide non-coding RNA. RefSeq annotates it as other RNA. NCBI's taxonomy places the organism in Eukaryota, Viridiplantae, Streptophyta, Magnoliopsida, Brassicales, Brassicaceae. The record is from RefSeq. The transcript has a single exon.
AACGCCACCGGAGAAGGAGCUUCGUUCACAGGUUCACGAACGCGAUCAUCUUCCGCUGAACAUCUCAAAGAAUGUCUGCUUCUCGUUGUCUGAUUCACAGAAGCUUUCCCAAAGUUCGAAAAUUCUGCUCUGUCAAAGCGACGAAGAUGCAAACUGUGACAGGAUUUAAGAGUUAAGGAAGAUGAUGGAGUAGAAAC